This 391-nucleotide ribosomal RNA is filed under the name uncultured bacterium. RNAcentral's name for it is "bacterial SSU rRNA". It matches the Rfam family "Bacterial small subunit ribosomal RNA", at positions 505 to 898 of the family's 1533-position model. The record is from RNAcentral.
GUGCCAGCCGCCGCGGUAAUACGGAGGGUGCAAGCGUUAUCCGGAUUUACUGGGUUUAAAGGGUGCGUAGGCGGGUCUUUAAGUCAGUGGUGAAAUCCUCCUGCUCAACGGGAGAACUGCCAUUGAUACUAUUGAUCUUGAAUUCAGUUGAGGUGGGCGGAAUGUGUCGUGUAGCGGUGAAAUGCUUAGAUAUGACACAGAACACCGAUUGCGAAGGCAGCUCGCUAAACUGACAUUGACGCUGAGGCACGAAAGCGUGGGGAUCAAACAGGAUUAGAUACCCUGGUAGUCCACGCCCUAAACGAUGAUUACUCGAUCUGUGCGAUACACUGUACGGGUCUAUGCAAAAGCAUUAAGUAAUCCACCUGGGGAGUACGACCGCAAGGUUGAA